UAGGGAAUCUUCCACAAUGGACGAAAGUCUGAUGGAGCAACGCCGCGUGAGUGAAGAAGGGUUUCGGCUCGUAAAACUCUGUUGUUAAAGAAGAACAUAUCUGAGAGUAACUGUUCAGGUAUUGACGGUAUUUGACCGGAAAGCCACGGCUAACUACGUGCAG
This 163-nucleotide ribosomal RNA is filed under the name uncultured bacterium. RNAcentral describes it as "partial 16S ribosomal RNA". It matches the Rfam family "Bacterial small subunit ribosomal RNA", at positions 355 to 510 of the family's 1533-position model. The record is from RNAcentral.